GACGGAGGAUGCAAGCGUUAUCCGGAAUUAUUGGGCGUAAAGCGUCCGCAGGUGGUGUUUCAAGUCUGCCGUUAAAGACCGGGGCUCAACCCCAGAAAGGCGGUGGAAACUGAAAGACUAGAGUGCGGUAGGGGCGGAGGGAAUUCCCGGUGUAGCGGUGAAAUGCGUAGAGAUCGGGAAGAACACCGGUGGCGAAAGCGCUCUGCUGGGCCGCAACUGACACUCAGGGACGAAAGCUAGGGGAGCGAAUGGG
RNAcentral lists this ribosomal RNA (253 nucleotides) under uncultured bacterium. RNAcentral's name for it is "partial 16S ribosomal RNA". It matches the Rfam family "Bacterial small subunit ribosomal RNA", at positions 524 to 776 of the family's 1533-position model. The record is from RNAcentral.